AAGUCGUAACAAGGUAACCGUAGGUGAACCUGCGGUUGGAUCAUUAAAGUAUUAGACCGAAAGGUCGCCCGAGAAGAUUAGACCGAAAGGUCGCCCGAGAAGAUUGGGUUCCAGUUUUCUGGAAUCUGAUUCUUGCAACAUUACUAGGAGAUCUGGGGUUGGCUCCUUCGGGGGUCAGCCAAACAUACACACCAUCUGUGAACUUUUUGACUGUCUUUUGGCGGUGCUUGGGGUUCGUGCAGCUUUCAUCAGCUUCACAGCCUGCGCCGCCAGCCAUAUGUUACAACAUGCCGUGCGAUUUCUUGUCUUAAAAUGUAUAUUUUCUAAAUAUCAGAAACAACUUCAGACAAUGGAUCUCUUGGUUCUC
RNAcentral lists this unclassified non-coding RNA (367 nucleotides) under fungal sp. Its description in RNAcentral is "partial internal transcribed spacer region". The stretch from base 1 to 46 matches the Rfam family "Eukaryotic small subunit ribosomal RNA", at positions 1786 to 1831 of the family's 1831-position model. RNAcentral also lists the same sequence under 1 other name. Lineage: Eukaryota; Fungi. The record is from RNAcentral.